This 23-nucleotide non-coding RNA is filed under the name Arabidopsis thaliana (thale cress). Lineage: Eukaryota; Viridiplantae; Streptophyta; Magnoliopsida; Brassicales; Brassicaceae. The record is from RNAcentral.
AUGGAACAUUUGAGGAAGAAGCA